ACAGGCCAAUUAUUGGCUAACAGAAGUACCCACUCUGGGGAAGAGGCUCCUGAAACCUCGUGCAAUAAGAUGCCUUAUUCCUUAAGGAGAGGAGACCCCACGGUAGUUUGGGGAAGACUGUCAAGCUGGAAAUUACCUACAGCAGCUGAGUCACCCAUCUCCCCGCCGAAGCCCGCUGGCUGUUUCCAAGGCCUUCCUCAUCAUUCAAACCACGAUGCGGCCACAGGAAUACCAAAAGCAACGCUUGAUGGCUGUGGAAGAUUUUCAUCCUCACAGGUCGUGAAUGCCUUCUGUUUAUCACCUGCACUAAGGAUUUACGACUGUCUCAGUGUUGUAUUUCUAGCAGCUGUACUCUGAAGGAAAGCAUCCUGCCCUGAGCUCCUUGGAGCUCCUAUCUGGUCAAUUGGAUGCUGCCCAAUUCAGGAGCUAUUGAAUAAAGCCACGUGUUAGUCAUUCAGUCGUGUCUGAC
Capra hircus (goat) is the source of this 469-nucleotide long non-coding RNA. RefSeq lists it as uncharacterized. Lineage: Eukaryota; Metazoa; Chordata; Mammalia; Artiodactyla; Bovidae. The transcript is spliced from 3 exons. The record is from RefSeq and is a predicted model, not a curated record.